Molecule: small nuclear RNA, 109 nt
Organism: Rhinopithecus bieti (black snub-nosed monkey)
Lineage: Eukaryota; Metazoa; Chordata; Mammalia; Primates; Cercopithecidae
Source: Ensembl
GGAGUCUUCACUUCCGCAGCCCUUACACUAAAACUGAAACGUACAGAGAAGAUUGGGAUGGUCCCUGGGCAAGGAUGACAUGCACAUUUGUGAAGUGUUCUAUAUUUUU